Molecule: transfer RNA, 71 nt
Filed under: Phytophthora infestans T30-4
Lineage: Eukaryota; Oomycota; Peronosporomycetes; Peronosporales; Peronosporaceae
Description: tRNA-Pro for anticodon UGG
Rfam family: tRNA
About the family: Transfer RNA (tRNA) molecules are approximately 80 nucleotides in length. Their secondary structure includes four short double-helical elements and three loops (D, anti-codon, and T loops). Further hydrogen bonds mediate the characteristic L-shaped molecular structure. tRNAs have two regions of fundamental functional importance: the anti-codon, which is responsible for specific mRNA codon recognition, and the 3' end, to which the tRNAs corresponding amino acid is attached (by aminoacyl-tRNA synthetases). tRNAs cope with the degeneracy of the genetic code in two manners: having more than one tRNA (with a specific anti-codon) for a particular amino acid; and 'wobble' base-pairing, i.e. permitting non-standard base-pairing at the 3rd anti-codon position.
Source: Rfam by way of RNAcentral
CCGCUUUUAGCUCAGUGGUCGAGCGUUGGCUUUGGAAGCCACAGGUCGGUGAUUCGAGCCCACAGAGCACA